RNAcentral lists this transfer RNA (58 nucleotides) under Sundasciurus lowii (Low's squirrel). RNAcentral's name for it is "tRNA-Ser". Lineage: Eukaryota; Metazoa; Chordata; Mammalia; Rodentia; Sciuridae. The record is from RNAcentral.
AGAAAGUAAUGCAAGAACUGCUAANUCAUGCACCCGUACUUAAACCCACGGCUUUCUU